RNAcentral lists this ribosomal RNA (1299 nucleotides) under Triticum aestivum (bread wheat). RNAcentral's name for it is "partial small subunit ribosomal RNA". The record is from RNAcentral. Lineage: Eukaryota; Viridiplantae; Streptophyta; Magnoliopsida; Poales; Poaceae.
AUGCCGCCGUCCCCCGCCGCGUCCGCCCCGGCGAGCCGCCACCUGCGCCUCUGGUGGCGCCGCCGCGGCCGGGCCGGCGCCGUCGCGGCCACCUUCGCCGCCGCGCUGCUCGCCGCGGCCCUUCUCCUCUCGCUCUCCUACUUCGCCUCCCUGCCCCUUGCGCCCUCCUCCUCCUCCGCCCUCGUCGGCCUCACCCUCCUCCGCCGCGCCGAGGAGAAGGGCGCUCUGUGCUUGGACGGGAGCGCGCCGGGGUACCAUCUGCAGAGAGGGUCGGGGAGUGGGUCUCAGAGCUGGCUCAUCCACUUGGAGGGUGGAGGCUGGUGCCGAAAUUUGAAAUCAUGCGCUUCACGUCAGAAAUCGAUGCUGGGUUCUUCCCAUUACAUGGAACGUCAGGUUGAAUUUGCUGGGAUGUUGAGCGAUGAUGAAGAUCAGAAUCCAGAUUUUCACAACUGGAAUAAAGUGAAGAUAAGGUAUUGCGAUGGGGCAUCAUUUUCUGGGAACGUCAAAGACGAGUUUCAGAAUGGCACAAAAUUCUUUUUCCGAGGCCAGCGUAUCUGGGAAGCAGUUAUGGAUGAACUUCUACUGAAGGGGCUCAGACAUGCUAAACAGGCUUUUCUAACAGGGUGCUCUGCUGGUGGGUUAGCCACUUACAUUCACUGUGAUGGUUUUCGGGCACUGCUGCCAAAAGAUUCUAGGGUUAAGUGUCUUGCGGAUGGUGGUUUUUUCCUUGAUGUAGAGGACAUUUCCAAGCAAAGGACCUUGCGGGCUUUCUACAGUGACAUUGUCGGUCUUCAGGAUCUCAAGAGGAAGUUUUUGCACUGCAGCUCAAGCAUGGAACCGGGCCAGUGCUUCUUUCCUCGUGAAAUUGUUAAAGACAUCAGGACACCAGUAUUUGUUCUUAAUCCAGCAUAUGAUGCCUGGCAGGUACAACACGUGUUGGCACCAGAAGCAUCGGAUCCCCAACAUUCAUGGCAAGAUUGUAGGUUGGAUAUUAGCAAGUGCAGUCCUGACCAACUUGAAAUACUCCAAGGUUUUAGGGAAGAGCUCCAUGACGCGAUGAGAGAAAUCAAGCAGAAAAAGGACUGGGGUAUUUUCAUUGACUCCUGCUUUAUACACUGUCAGACGUUGAACUCUGUGACUUGGCACUCUCCAUCUUCUCCUAGAGUCAACAACAAGACCAUGGCAGAAGCGGUUGGAGACUGGUUCUUUGACAGGAGAGAGGUGAAGGAACUAGAUUGCGAAUAUCCGUGCAACCCAACGUGCCACAACUUGGUUUUUUCCAAGCCCUUCAAGGGAUAA